RNAcentral lists this small RNA (488 nucleotides) under Histoplasma ohiense. Its description in RNAcentral is "hypothetical lncRNA". Lineage: Eukaryota; Fungi; Ascomycota; Eurotiomycetes; Onygenales; Ajellomycetaceae. The record is from RNAcentral.
AGGUUUGCAACAGAGGCAUGAAGAAUUCCUCUUCGCAACAAUACAUUCCUUUGUAGAACUGGGGUAUUCUGUCCGUUGGAAGUUACUGAAUUGUCGGGACUAUGGAGUGCCUCAGAGCCGUCAGCGGUUGGUUAUUUUGGCGUCGGGACCCGGUGAACCCCUACCGCCCUUCCCAAAGCCAACGCACGCCUCUCCCAACACCCAAAUAAACACCACCAUCACCACUGCUCUCCUUCCCCCUUUCCGCACCAUCCACGACGCAAUCUCCAAAAUCCCCCCUCAUCACCCAGACCACGACAUCCAAUAUGCUCGCAGCCGUCCACUGAACCGGCCAACCUAUGACCCACACACCCAAGCGAGGACGAUAACCUGCAACGGGGGCGAGAAUUACCACCCAAGCGGCACACGCGGCUUCACUUACCGCGAGCUUGCAUGCCUGCAGACGUUCCCGCUCGAGCAUCGGUUUUGUGGGAAGAGUGUCAAAAAGC